Cygnus olor (mute swan) is the source of this 625-nucleotide long non-coding RNA. RefSeq lists it as uncharacterized. The transcript is spliced from 2 exons. NCBI's taxonomy places the organism in Eukaryota, Metazoa, Chordata, Aves, Anseriformes, Anatidae. The record is from RefSeq and is a predicted model, not a curated record.
UUCCCUUUGCAUUCUCUGUUUUCAGGCUUCUGCUAAUUUUUCAAUCCCCCUAAUUCUGUCUUUGGGUUUUUAUUUUUUUCUGCCUUAUACAGUUCUGUUUCUCUCCAAUUUUGAAUCAUUUGUGUCUUGUCAAAGAUCACUCUUUAAUGCCAACUGUCCUUGUUGUCUUGGCUGUUCCUUACCCUUCUCCCUGCUCCCACAGCACUGCACUGCACCCUGCUUUCCCAGCUGUGUUCUCCUGCACCCCGCGGUGCUGACCUGUGUUGGUGCUGGAUGCCUUCAGCAAAGUCCUCAGCAGAAGCUGGCUCUGCUGCGUUUUGACAAGUUUAGCAACUGCACAUCACGAACAAGUUGUAGUGUGUGCAAAGGAGAUGAGAAACCCCAGCUCUUUUAGGCUGUCAGUGCCACGUGCUGUGUUCUCUUUGAGAAGAAUCCAGCUUGGAACAACCCUGAACAGGACGGUGAGCUUCUGUAGUUCGGAAACAUUAAAACACAGCUCCCGAAUUAAACUUCUCCAUGAAUUUUGUUCUCUUGUCUGGAAGCUCAACUUUCAGCUGUGAAAAAGCUUAAAAGUUUUUUUUUUUUUUUUUUCUAAAAAUAAUAAAUAAAUUACAUCCUGAACUCC